UAAUAAUUUGAUUUAUUUUAAUGAAUUAAUUAUUUGUAAAAUUUAUAUGAAUUUUGUUUAAUAUAUUAUUAAUUUCAGUAAUAAGUUUUUAAUUUUUAAUUAAUUUUAUUUAAGUUAUACACUGAUUUUGGGUAAAAAUUGUGCCAGCAUCUGCGGUUAUACAAUUUUAAAAGAAUUAAUUUUUUAGGUUUUAAUUAUUUUUUUUGGGUUUAAUUUUUAAUUAUUAAGGUGAAAUUUUUAUUUAUAUUUAAUAUUCUAUUAUAUAUUUUUAAUAAAUUUUUGGUUUAAAUUAGGAUUAGAUACCCUAUUAUUAAUUAAUUUAAUUAGUUUACUUUAACAUUAAUAGUUUAUUUUCUAUUAAAUUUGAAUAAUUUGGCGGUAAUUUAUUAUUAGGGGAGCCUGUACCUUAAUUGAUAAACCACGAUAUAUUUUACUUAGUAUUUUAUAUUUGUAUAUCUCUAUAUUAUGAAUAUUUGGCAGAAUUUUUAUUUUUCUUAUUAAGAUUAAUAUUAGGUCAAGGUGCAGUUUGUAUAUAAGUAGAUGUGGGCUACUUUAAUUCUAAAUAUAUUAAAUUUUUAUAAUUAAGUUAAUUUGAAAUAGGAUUUAAUAGUAAUUUAAAAUUAUUUUUUUUUUUGAAUUUAAAAUUAAAUUAUGUACAUAUUGCCCGUCACUCUCAUUUAAAUUGGGAUAAGUCGUAACAAAGUAAUUGUACUGGAAAGUGUAAUUAGAAUU
This 732-nucleotide non-coding RNA is filed under the name Mitjaevia shibingensis. Lineage: Eukaryota; Metazoa; Arthropoda; Insecta; Hemiptera; Cicadellidae. The record is from RNAcentral.